UAACUCGUUUCUCUAGAGCCUUUAAGAGG
Molecule: non-coding RNA, 29 nt
Filed under: Mus musculus (house mouse)
Lineage: Eukaryota; Metazoa; Chordata; Mammalia; Rodentia; Muridae
Source: RNAcentral